UCCGGUAUGGUGUAACGGCUAACAUUGCCGCCUUUCAUAGUACCUAACUUGAAUGAUGCGCGGCAGCUCGGGGUUCGAUUCCCCGUACCGGAA
Asterophora parasitica is the source of this 93-nucleotide non-coding RNA. NCBI's taxonomy places the organism in Eukaryota, Fungi, Basidiomycota, Agaricomycetes, Agaricales, Lyophyllaceae. The record is from the annotation of a GenBank genome assembly.